RNAcentral lists this ribosomal RNA (253 nucleotides) under uncultured bacterium. Its description in RNAcentral is "partial 16S ribosomal RNA". It matches the Rfam family "Bacterial small subunit ribosomal RNA", at positions 524 to 776 of the family's 1533-position model. The record is from RNAcentral.
UACGGAGGGGGCGAGCGUUGUUCGGAAUCACUGGGUGUAAAGUGUGCGCAGGCGGCCGAGCAAGUCGAGUGUGAAAGCCCCGAGCUUAACUUGGGAAUUGCGCUCGAAACUACUUGGCUGGAGUGUGGCAGAGGAAGGUGGAAUUCCAGGUGUAGCGGUGAAAUGCGUAGAGAUCUGGAGGAACACCGAUGGCGAAGGCAGCCUUCUGGGCCAACACUGACGCUCAUGCACGAAAGCGUGGGGAGCAAACAGG